This 468-nucleotide ribosomal RNA is filed under the name uncultured bacterium. RNAcentral describes it as "partial 16S ribosomal RNA". It matches the Rfam family "Bacterial small subunit ribosomal RNA", at positions 28 to 507 of the family's 1533-position model. The record is from RNAcentral.
GACGAACGCUGGCGGCGUGCUUAACACAUGCAAGUCGAACGGAAAGGCCCUGCUUUUGUGGGGUGCUCGAGUGGCGAACGGGUGAGUAACACGUGAGUAACCUGCCCUUGACUUUGGGAUAACUUCAGGAAACUGGGGCUAAUACCGGAUAGGAGCUCCUGCUGCAUGGUGGGGGUUGGAAAGUUUCGGCGGUUGGGGAUGGACUCGCGGCUUAUCAGCUUGUUGGUGGGGUAGUGGCUUACCAAGGCUUUGACGGGUAGCCGGCCUGAGAGGGUGACCGGCGACAUUGGGACUGCGAUACGGCGCAGACUCCUACGGGAGGCAGCAGUGGGGAAUAUUGCACAAUGGGCGGAAGCCUGAUGCAGCAACGCCGCGUGCGGAAUGCCGGCCUUCGGGUUGUAAACCGCUUUCGACUGUGACGAAGCGUGAGUGACGGUAAUGGGUAAAGAAGCACCGGCUAACUACGUG